CGCCCUUCAUUCACCACAUGGUUAAACCCAGACUCUACUCGCGCCACUUUCGCAAUCUUACUACGACUCUCAAACUCUCAGCAAAUCAAAAUAGUAGCACAUGGUUGCGGACUUUUACUUCCCCCCCCCCUCUAAGUCUUCGUUGAACGCGAGAUUUCUUCUCAGUUUUGCAAGAAACAGAGUAAAUGGAACCCCGCAUGCAUCUUCACCUGCUGGCCAGCACCCAUCUUAUUUUAAAGAAGUCGUCGUCUGGCCUCAAAGGAAAUGCCACAUGAACAUUUUAAAAUCACUGUAGUGUCAAAGUGCUUACAGUGCAGGUAGUUUUCUAAAAAUCUACUGCAGUGAAGGCACUUUCAGCACUGUGCUGAUAAUGUGAACUAAAGGAGUGGGUCUAUUCACCAAGCCCAGCUGGGUUGUGACUGCACUGAAUGGACUGAAUGCGACUGCUCUUGUUGACGCACAUCUGCAGGAUCUCGCCUUCUUGCUGUAAAAGGUUACUGUGGGCUUUAUGGAGCCAAGAAUCAAUAUUUGAAGAAAACAUGCAGAAUUUGUAAGAUAUUUUAUCUAGCAUUAGCCAUGAAACAAUCUUUCUUCUAGCUGAAUUUCAUGCCCAUUUGUAUCACAACAUUUGCUUUUGUUUUGUCUUCUAGUGCUUAUGCUAAGGUGCAUCUAGUGCAGAUAGUGAAAUAGACUAGCACCUACUGCCCUAAGUGCUCCUUCUGGCAUAAGGAGCUGGGAUUCUCAUCUGCCUCGUUCUACAAGUGUUCAUCUAUAAACAAACGGUAUUGUCAGUUCUCUGUUAGUUUUGCAUAGUUGCGCUGCAAGAAGAAAUGAGUUGUGCAAAUCUAUGCAAAACUGACGGGGCCCUGUGUUUCCAUCCGAAUCCUACCAAUAAUUUAAAUUCUUCCCAUAUGGCGGUCAAUCGGGUUUCCUCCUCUGCUCCGUUUAAAAAGGCAAAUGCAGGUUUCAGUAGUAUUAAAGUGCUUAUAGUGCAGGUAGUUAUGUGGAUUUCUACUGCAGUGUGAGCACUUGAAGUACUUCUAGACUUGAUCCUCAUGAGGAAAAGCUGCGGGGGUAUCUUGCACACGUGGGUCUCUGGUUAGUUUUGCUGGUUUGCUUUCAGCUUUUUAAGGUAGUGCUGUGCAAAUCCAUGCAAAACUGAUCAUAGAACUGAAAUGAGUCUUGUCAGAAAGGAUCCCUUUCUGUGCAGGUUGGGAGAGGUGGCAGUGCUCUAUGCUUAAGUGGUAUUGCACUUGUCCCGGCCUGUUGAGGACAGGGAACAGUUCUGCAUCCGUCAAGAAUUUAUCGUCCUGGUUGUAUCAAUUUCCUGUACAUGUUCUAGACAUUCAUGCUGUUCGGUCAAUUUUUGGGUUUGCUAAUGUUUGUACAUUUUUUAUGCUCUCUUAAGGAACUGUAAAAUUAAAUUUGAAAUAUAACAUGUUUAAAAUUA
This is a long non-coding RNA of Xiphophorus couchianus (Monterrey platyfish), 1450 nucleotides long. RefSeq lists it as uncharacterized. The transcript has 2 exons. NCBI's taxonomy places the organism in Eukaryota, Metazoa, Chordata, Actinopteri, Cyprinodontiformes, Poeciliidae. The record is from RefSeq and is a predicted model, not a curated record.